This 129-nucleotide ribosomal RNA is filed under the name Minisyncoccota bacterium. Its description in RNAcentral is "partial 16S ribosomal RNA". It matches the Rfam family "Bacterial small subunit ribosomal RNA", at positions 556 to 683 of the family's 1533-position model. Lineage: Bacteria; Bacillati; Minisyncoccota. The record is from RNAcentral.
GGGCGUAAAGCGUCCGUCGGCGGUCUAUAAAGUUUCAUCUUUAAUACUGGGGCUCAACCCCAGAUACAGGAUGGAAAACUAGUAGACUAGAGUUUACUAUGGGGAGCUGGAAUUCUCGGUGGAGGGGUG